Molecule: long non-coding RNA, 467 nt
Filed under: Trifolium pratense (red clover)
Lineage: Eukaryota; Viridiplantae; Streptophyta; Magnoliopsida; Fabales; Fabaceae
Description: long non-coding RNA (TPRA_LNC008337)
Source: RNAcentral
GAGACUUGACCAAUGCAUGUAGAUAAUUUGUUCUAAUUAAAUUUCAAAACAUACAUCAUUGGAUAAACUAGAAAUCUAAAUCAUAACGAUUGCCAUAACAAAGAAGUAAAAAUUACAAACAAACCAUUAUAUUGAUGAACAUCAUCAUCAUCAAUAUCACAAACAUAUAGAAAACAAAAUAAAAGUGCUACGUACUACAUUAAUUGGUGUGAGACAAAUAGUGACAAACAUAACCGAGGAUUAUUAUUAUUAUUAUGUUGAUCUAAUUUGUGUCAUGAGUAUGAAGAAUGAUCUAACACACGUGUCCUUAACUAAGACGUGUCCCCUUUGAGUUCUUCAUCAUCUCCCAUUGCAUUUUUGGAUGGUUUUGCGGUGCCCAUUUCCAUUGAUUCUUCUUGUGUUGUUGUUUUUGUUUUUGCAUUUCCUUUAUUCUUACGAUAUAUGAAAUACAAUAUUAGUUGCAAUGU